Molecule: long non-coding RNA, 856 nt
Filed under: Canis lupus familiaris (dog)
Lineage: Eukaryota; Metazoa; Chordata; Mammalia; Carnivora; Canidae
Description: lncRNA (ENSCAFG00040014295.1)
Source: RNAcentral
UAAUGAGCCAAGAGCACAUCUUUUAGAGUUAAGAGCGUGGACCACUUCCACACUCGAAGUGUGAGGGGACAUACUAUGAGCUAGAGAGAGGCAAAUAAAUAGAAGUUUACAUGCCACACAGUCAUUUAGGCUUGUAACACACACAUAGAGCAGCAAACUCUCAGGCUCCUCUGCAGAAACGCUGCAGCCUGUCUGCCGGCAUGAAGCAGAAUUUCCUAAUCCCAUUAGCUGGGCCCUGGUACCUAUCGGUGUGUUAUUAACUAACCUUAAUUUAAGAAGCUGUAAAUUUUGAGAAGAUUAUACACCUAACACUCCUGAGACUGACUCGAGUGCAUUACACUGGCCUCUGACAAGAAUGUGUCCAUUCUGAGCAUUUGUAUUUGGCUCUAUUCUGAUAAAAACUCAAAAUGUAGCUCCUUAUAAAAUGAACCUGAUAAGUGAGACUCUAGAUCAGCGUGGUCCCAUAGGAAUAGAAUGCAGGUCGCCGAACUACGUGUGUAAUAUUACCUUUUCCAACGACUAUUAAACUAAAUAAAAAUAAACAGAUGAAGUCAGUUUUAAAGACAUAUUUAUCUAACCUAUGAUAUUAUCGUAUCAAUAGGUAACCAGUAUACAUUUAUUAAUGGAGUAUUUUACAUUUUUCCAUAGUGCCGUCUGGUAUUUUGCAACAAUAGCACAUCUCAGCUCAAACCAGCCCCCCCUCAAGUGCUCAGUAGCUCACGUGGCCAGUGCAGGGGUAGACGGGCCAGGUAAUGAGAAGCCUCUUAGGAAAGUCUUCCCAAGAUUCUGCUUGGCCAAGAACAUCUUGAACCAGUGCAACGUGGGAAUCCUAUCUCCGGUCUUGAGAGUGAGAUGA